AACGAACGCUGGCGGCAUGCCUAACACAUGCAAGUCGAACGAGACCUUCGGGUCUAGUGGCGCACGGGUGCGUAACGCGUGGGAACCUGCCCUUAGGUUCGGAAUAACUCCCCGAAAGGGGUGCUAAUACCGGAUAAUGUCUUCGGACCAAAGAUUUAUCGCCUUUGGAUGUGCCCGCGUUGGAUUAGCUAGUUGGUAGGGUAAAAGCCUACCAAGGCGACGAUCCAUAGCUGGGCUGAGAGGAUGAUCAGCCACACUGGGACUGAGACACGGCCCAGACUCCUACGGGAGGCAGCAGUGGGGAAUAUUGGAAAAUGGGCGAAAGCCUGAUCCAGCAAUGCCGCGUGAGUGAUGAAGGCCUUAGGGUUGUAAAGCUCUUUUAACCGGGAUGAUAAUGACAGUACCGGGAGAAUAAGCUCCGGCUAACUCCGUG
This 433-nucleotide ribosomal RNA is filed under the name uncultured bacterium. Its description in RNAcentral is "partial 16S ribosomal RNA". It matches the Rfam family "Bacterial small subunit ribosomal RNA", at positions 29 to 507 of the family's 1533-position model. The record is from RNAcentral.